UGGGGAAUAUUGGGCAAUGGGCGAAAGCCUGACCCAGCAACGCCGCGUGAGGGAAGAAGGUUUUCGGAUUGUAAACCUCUGUCCUAAGGGACGAAGGAAGUGACGGUACCUUAGGAGGAAGCCCCGGCUAACUACGUGCCAGCAGCCGCGGUAAUACGUAGGGGGCGAGCGUUGUCCGGAAUGACUGGGCGUAAAGGGCGUGUAGGCGGCUUUUUAAGUCUGGAGUGAAAGUCCUGCUUUCAAGGUGGGAAUUGCUUUGGAGACUGGAGAGCUUGAGUGCGGAAGAGGUAAGUGGAAUUCCCAGUGUAGCGGUGAAAUGCGUAGAGAUUGGGAGGAACACCAGUGGCGAAGGCGACUUACUGGGCCGUAACUGACGCUGAGGCGCGAAAGCGUGGGGAGCGAACAGGAUUAGAUACC
This 417-nucleotide ribosomal RNA is filed under the name uncultured bacterium. RNAcentral describes it as "bacterial SSU rRNA". It matches the Rfam family "Bacterial small subunit ribosomal RNA", at positions 355 to 786 of the family's 1533-position model. The record is from RNAcentral.